RNAcentral lists this ribosomal RNA (253 nucleotides) under uncultured bacterium. Its description in RNAcentral is "partial 16S ribosomal RNA". It matches the Rfam family "Bacterial small subunit ribosomal RNA", at positions 524 to 776 of the family's 1533-position model. The record is from RNAcentral.
UACGUAGGCAGCGAGCGUUGUUCGGAAUUACUGGGCGUAAAGAGUGUGUAGGCGGUGCUCUAAGUUCGGUGUGAAAUCUCCUGGCUCAACUGGGAGGGUGCGCCGGAAACUGGAGUGCUUGAGCGUGGGAGAGGAAAGCGGAAUUCCUGGUGUAGCGGUGAAAUGCGUAGAUAUUGCUCGGAAGGCCAACGGCGAAGGCAGGUUACUGGUACGCAACUGACGCUGAGGCACGAAAGCGUGGGGAGCAAACAGG